This 253-nucleotide ribosomal RNA is filed under the name uncultured bacterium. Its description in RNAcentral is "partial 16S ribosomal RNA". It matches the Rfam family "Bacterial small subunit ribosomal RNA", at positions 524 to 776 of the family's 1533-position model. The record is from RNAcentral.
UACGAAGGGUGCGAGCGUUAUUCGGAAUCAUUGGGCGUAAAGGGUGCGUAGGCGGUGCGUUAAGUCAGUUGUUAAAUCCCCCAGCCUAACUGGGGACCGGCGGCAGAUACUGGCGUGCUUGAGGAUGGAAGAGAGAAGUGGAAUUCUUGGAGUAGCGGUAAAAUGCGUAGAUCUCAAGAGGAACACCAAUGGCGAAGGCAGCUUCUUGGUCCAUAGCUGACGCUGAUGCACGAAAGCGUGGGGAGCAAACAGG